This 2777-nucleotide unclassified non-coding RNA is filed under the name Camponotus floridanus (Florida carpenter ant). RNAcentral's name for it is "uncharacterized LOC112637605, transcript variant X3". The record is from RNAcentral. Lineage: Eukaryota; Metazoa; Arthropoda; Insecta; Hymenoptera; Formicidae.
CACACUACCGCGUUACUUAUCGUUUGAUUUAAACUGCAUCAUAUGAAUAUCAUAAAAAAUUGUGUACGAAUAGUGGAUUUUAAAAGCAUACGUAAAUUAGCAGAGUGAGAAAAACAAUUAACUGUGAAUUCAACGGGAACUGAUUGAGUGUAAACGUUUAAGAAAAAUGCAAAUCAUGUUUGGGACAAUUUUCUGUAUUUUAUUGAAAGGUUUAGUAUUAACAAAGGCAACUAUCACGCCGAAUGAUUAUACCACUUCAAACAUUCUCCAGGAAGAAAAUGUUUCCAUGCGUCCGGAAUUAAAUUUCACGCAGGGAUAUUACAAUGUCCGAGAAAAGUGACCAUCAUAUACUAAAUUUCAAAUCUGACCGGAGUCAUUCUGAUAGUACUGUGAGAAAUGAGCGAGAAGUCGAUGAAGUUACACUUGGAAAUAUUACUAUCAUUCCAGAAUCUAUCGAAAGCAGUUUGAGCAAGCCAACAUCUCUCAUUGUCAGAGCAUUUGUACAAUUCGACAGUCGAUUUACAGAAAAAGUAAACGACAUUUUUGUGAUAUUGAGAUGGAAUCAACCAGAAUUUGCCGAUGAAAUAAUACAAGUGUACCAAAUGCAGUGUUCUUUCUUCGAGGACUUUAAAGAAAUCUGCGACGAUAAAAAUAUCACAACUACAAAAUUGGAGCACACGGUGCACAAUCUAACAUCUAAGACGACAUAUUAUUUUCGAGUACGUGCGCAUACUGAAAUUGUUGCUGUCCUUACACGGAUUUAAUCAAUGUGUCGACUACACAUGAAAAUUCAAUACCUAUAUUAUUAGUUUCAAUGUAUAAACGUGUCGAAGUAUGGGACUUGGAUUUAAACAGUUAUAUUACUAAUUUCGUAAAUUUGACAAAAUCAGCAUUUAGUUUCAUUUAUUCAUCAAUAUGUGUCACUUAUUUGAUACAAGACCAUAGAAUUUAUUGGAUUGACGAAAAAGAUCUAAAGAUUCUUUGAAGACUAAAGACUAAAGAUCUAAAGACUCAUUGAAGAUUAAUGAAAAUAAUAUCACAAAAAUAGCUUCGAACUAUAUUUAUAUAAUCUCUGCAUUGACUGGGUAGCAAGAAAUCUAUAUUUUACCUAUAAUGAUUUUACCUACUCUUAUAUUAUGAAGUUCGACUUAACAAAGCGGAAAAAUGGCAUAAUUAAAUGUGAUGAGAUUAUCAAAUCGCAAAAUUAUAUUCUCCAUUUAAGUGUAUCACCGUCUAUGGGGUAACAUACAAUAAUAGGACAAUGACAGAAUAUAGUAUGGUGAAAUAUCAUCUCGAUGGAGAAAUCGAGUAACAUGUUAAGAUAAAUACAUCCUUUUGCCUAUUUCAUUCUAUAGAUUAUUUUCAUGAUAUAAUAAUUGAUGACAUGAAUAAUGAGGAGACGUUAAUUUACUGGUUAAGUGCGAAUUACAUAAUUGUAACAGACAUUAACAUUUCUAUGUGCAAUACGAUUUUAUACAAGAAAAACAUAAGUGUUAAUAAUACCUUUGACUUCCAUUUUAUGACGAUUGACAAAACAAACAUUUACAUUUUAGCAACUAUUAGGAAUGAUUUUAAUUCUGAAAACGCUAUAUACGCUUUGAAAAAGAAAUAUGCAAUUCUCAAGAGCGUAAAUGCAGCCAAAUAUGUUGAAAAGAUAAUAAGAAUAGAUAAUAAUGUUAUAUUUAAUUAAAAAAAUUACGCUUCUGAUAAAUCUUUACAAACAUAUCAUCCACUGAGAUGUCUGACACCUUACGAAAAAGUUUACAAUUUUGAGAAUAUGAAUGCAACGGCAAACAGCAUCAAUGUAACUUUACCGGAGCCGGUUGUAAAGAGUGGAUGUAAAAAAUAUAAUUUACCAAUUACUAUAUAUACUAUCUCUGUAAGCCAUUGUUUAAACAACAACCUCGACAAGUCUGAAAAAUUCAAUGUGCUGCGAUAUGUGACGUGCGAGCGACAUUACGAGAUUCAAAACUUAACACCAUUUACAGAGUACGAAUUGAAGUUUAUUUUAAGCAAUUUUUACUUUGAUCAAUUAUCAAUAAAUCCAAUCAAUUCGAAUGUGAUAUCAUUAAAAACUAAUUCGGGCAGCUUAAUGCACCAGAAAACAUAAGUGUUUUAGCUUUGACGCCUCUUAUAGCAGUAGUUCAUUGGAUGCCAGCAAUUGAACUGCGUGAGCGUGAACUACGAAGUGCAUUGGAAGUUAGUCAAUGACACGCAACAAAAGAGCAAACAAUUUAUCAAUAUGCCGAAACGUAUGACAGAUGGCAGAUUUUUCAUAAAGAUUAACUUGUCGCUACUAGUACAAAAUUACUUGAUUACGUGCGUGUGUAUCCAAUUAAUUUCAGCGAUUUGUACAACGAGAGUUUAAGCAAGAUCGUUCACAUAUCCUCAGAACCAAACAAUAUUACUUUGAGCGAAGUCAACAUAAAUAGCAGGAACAUUUCAUGGAUUCUCUAACAUUAAUUCGAAGAUCUUUUGUAUACUGGAAUACAAAGAGAUUGCAGCAGAAAAAUGGCAAACAAUAAAUUAUUUUAAAAUAAAUUAUAACAAUGAAGUAAUGUACCGUGUCUCGAAAAUUUACAAUCGGGAACUUUAUACAAGUUUUGCUUGAUAUUGAGAUAUCUCGAAUAUGAGGAAACUUUUAUAUGGCCGGCUGAUGAAAGAUUUAUUUUUUCAAUACAUGGUAGCAAACGUGGUAAGCAAAUAUCCAUACAGCACAAUAAGGUUACGGAUAUUGAAGAAUAAUUUCAUUGAAACAUUGCAAUAUUGCAAAUCGA